GAAGCUGACCAGACAGUCGCCGCUUCGUCGUCGUCCUCCUUCGGGGGGAGACGGGCGGAGGGGAGGAAAGUCCGGGCUCCAUAGGGCAAGGUGCCAGGUAACGCCUGGGGGGUGUCACAGCCCACGACCAGUGCAACAGAGAGCAAACCGCCGAUGGCCCGCACAAGCGGGAUCAGGUAAGGGUGAAAGGGUGCGGUAAGAGCGCACCGCGCGGCUGGUAACAGUCCGUGGCACGGUAAACUCCACCCGGAGCAAGGCCAAAUAGGGGUUCAUAAGGUACGGCCCGUACUGAACCCGGGUAGGCUGCUUGAGCCAGUGAGCGAUUGCUGGCCUAGAUGAAUGACUGUCCACGACAGAACCCGGCUUAUCGGUCAGUUUCACUC
Molecule: RNase P RNA, 383 nt
Filed under: Klebsiella quasipneumoniae subsp. similipneumoniae
Lineage: Bacteria; Pseudomonadati; Pseudomonadota; Gammaproteobacteria; Enterobacterales; Enterobacteriaceae
Also listed under: 1 other name
Description: RNase P RNA component class A
Rfam family: Bacterial RNase P class A
About the family: Ribonuclease P (RNase P) is a ubiquitous endoribonuclease, found in archaea, bacteria and eukarya as well as chloroplasts and mitochondria. Its best characterised activity is the generation of mature 5'-ends of tRNAs by cleaving the 5'-leader elements of precursor-tRNAs. Cellular RNase Ps are ribonucleoproteins.
Source: RNAcentral